Long non-coding RNA from Sinocyclocheilus rhinocerous, 312 nucleotides. RefSeq lists it as uncharacterized. The record is from RefSeq and is a predicted model, not a curated record. The transcript has 3 exons. NCBI's taxonomy places the organism in Eukaryota, Metazoa, Chordata, Actinopteri, Cypriniformes, Cyprinidae.
UUCUACUCUGAUUCUAUCAUCCAUGACAAUGGCUUCCUGGCAGAAUACAGAACCAAACGUCCUCAGCAGGUCUACCUAUCUUCCCCCACUGGAAUGUUUGGUUCUCCUGAUAUUGACAUGAAUGGCCAGUACGAGCCACGUAUGGAAUAAAGGCAUUAACCUCACAUUCACAUACUUUGAGCUCGAGGGCCCCACUGGAUCCCUCUGCAGAUACGAUUAUGUCAAGAUCUAUGAUGGUGACCGUGCUAAUUAUCCACUGGUUGGCACAUUCUGUGAAGAUGUAGUACCCGCACUAGUGCACUUCAUCUCGGA